GAGAAAUUCCAAUCGAACUUGGAGAUAGCUGGUUCUCUCCGAAAUAGCUUUAGGGCUAGCCUCGAGGUAAAGAGUCAUGGAGGUAGAGCACUGUUUGGACUAGGGGCCCUUCUCGGGUUACCGAAUUCAGAUAAACUCCGAAUGCCAUGUACUUAUACUCGGGAGUCAGACUGCGAGUGAUAAGAUCCGUAGUCGAAAGGGAAACAGCCCAGACCACCAGUUAAGGUCCCCAAAUAUAUGUUAAGUGGAAAAGGAUGUGGGGUUGCUUAGACAACCAGGAUGUUGGCUUAGAAGCAGCCACCAUUGAAAGAGUGCGUAAUAGCUCACUGGUCGAGUGACCCCGCGCCGAAAAUGUACCGGGGCUAAACAUAUUACCGAAACUGUGGAUGAACCUCUUUAGAGGUUCGUGGUAGGAGAGCGUUCUAAGGGCGGUGAAGUCAGACCGGAAGGACUGGUGGAGCGCUUAGAAGUGAGAAUGCCGGUAUGAGUAGCGAAAGAAGGGUGAGAAUCCCUUCCACCGAAUAUCUAAGGUUUCCUGAGGAAGGCUCGUCCGCUCAGGGUUAGUCGGGACCUAAGCCGAGGCCGAUAGGCGUAGGCGAUGGACAACAGGUAGAGAUUCCUGUACCAGUGCUAAUUGUUUAACCGAUGGGGUGACACAGAAGGAUAGGGAAUCGCACGAAUGGAAAUGUGCGUCCAAGCAGUGAGUGUGAGAAGUAGGCAAAUCCGCUUCUCGCGAAGCAUGAGCUGUGAUGGGGAAGGAAAUUAAGUACGGAAGUUCCUGAUUUCACGCUGUCAAGAAAAGCCUCUAGGAAGAGUAGUACUGCCCGUACCGCAAACCGACACAGGUAGAUGAGGAGAGAAUCCUAAGGUGAGCGAGAGAACUCUCGUUAAGGAACUCGGCAAAAUGACCCCGUAACUUCGGGAGAAGGGGUGCUCUAUUAGGGUGCAAGCCCGAGAGAGCCGCAGUGAAUAGGCCCAGGCGACUGUUUAGCAAAAACACAGGUCUCUGCAAAACCGUAAGGUGACGUAUAGGGGCUGACGCCUGCCCGGUGCUGGAAGGUUAAGAGGAGUGCUUAGCUUCGGCGAAGGUACGAAUUGAAGCCCCAGUAAACGGCGGCCGUAACUAUAACGGUCCUAAGGUAGCGAAAUUCCUUGUCGGGUAAGUUCCGACCCGCACGAAAGGCGCAACGAUCUGGGCACUGUCUCAACGAGAGACUCGGUGAAAUUAUAGUACCUGUGAAGAUGCAGGUUACCCGCGACAGGACGGAAAGACCCCGUGGAGCUUUACUGCAACCUGAUAUGGAAUGUUUGUACCGCUUGUACAGGAUAGGUAGGAGCCGAAGAGACGUGUGCGCUAGCAUACGAGGAGGCAAUGGUGGGAUACUACCCUGGCUGUAUGACCAUUCUAACCCGCCACGCUUAGCGCGUGGGGAGACAGUGUCAGGUGGGCAGUUUGACUGGGGCGGUCGCCUCCUAAAGAGUAACGGAGGCGCCCAAAGGUUCCCUCAGAAUGGAUGGAAAUCAUUCGCAGAGUGUAAAGGCACAAGGGAGCUUGACUGCGAGACUGACAAGUCGAGCAGGGACGAAAGUCGGGCUUAGUGAUCCGGUGGUUCCGCAUGGAAGGGCCAUCGCUCAACGGAUAAAAGCUACCCCGGGGAUAACAGGCUUAUCUCCCCCAAGAGUCCACAUCGACGGGGAGGUUUGGCACCUCGAUGUCGGCUCGUCGCAUCCUGGGGCUGUAGUCGGUCCCAAGGGUUGGGCUGUUCGCCCAUUAAAGCGGCACGCGAGCUGGGUUCAGAACGUCGUGAGACAGUUCGGUCCCUAUCCGUCGCGGGCGCAGGAAAUUUGAGAGGAGCUGUCCUUAGUACGAGAGGACCGGGAUGGACACACCGCUGGUGUACCAGUUGUUCCGCCAGGAGCAUCGCUGGGUAGCUAUGUGUGGCAGGGAUAAACGCUGAAAGCAUCUAAGCGUGAAGCCCCCCUCAAGAUGAGAUUUCCCAUUUCUUCGGAAAGUAAGAUCCCUGAAAGAUGAUCAGGUAGAUAGGUUUGGAGUGGAAGUGUAGCGAUACAUGGAGCGGACAAAUACUAAUCGAUCGAGGACUUAACCAA
Molecule: ribosomal RNA, 2109 nt
Filed under: Listeria monocytogenes
Lineage: Bacteria; Bacillati; Bacillota; Bacilli; Caryophanales; Listeriaceae
Description: partial 23S ribosomal RNA
Rfam family: Bacterial large subunit ribosomal RNA
Source: RNAcentral